This 114-nucleotide ribosomal RNA is filed under the name Zingiber officinale. Lineage: Eukaryota; Viridiplantae; Streptophyta; Magnoliopsida; Zingiberales; Zingiberaceae. The record is from RNAcentral.
GCGGUCAUACCAGCACUAAUGCACCGGAUCCCAUCAGAACUCCGAAGUUAAGCGAGCUUGGGCGAGAGCAGUACUAGGAUGGGUGACCCCCUGGGAAGUCCUCGUGUUGCACCU